Molecule: long non-coding RNA, 2090 nt
Filed under: Linum usitatissimum (flax)
Lineage: Eukaryota; Viridiplantae; Streptophyta; Magnoliopsida; Malpighiales; Linaceae
Description: long non-coding RNA (LUSI_LNC005548)
Source: RNAcentral
CUUUCCCCAUCAUGACUUUUCUUUUCGAAAAAUGGAGAAUCUCAUUAAUGAAUCAAAGUACAGAUUGAUGUUACAAAAUCAAGAAAACUAAUUCAAAAUAAUUAAACAGAUUGAAAGUGCUACUUAAGAAAUACGAACGCUGAUUCAUGGAUUUGGGACCAACUCGUCGACUCGACGAUAUUUCUUCUUCUUACAGUCUAUACCUCGCAGCAACAGAAGCCGGAUAACGAAUCAAUGGGGUGAGGCUCCUUCUUCUUCAAUUUAGUUUCAUGAGUCGGCUGUUUAGGAUUGGUAGUUUUGACCGUUUCUUAUGUUUCUUCUUUGGAGCUGGGGAGAACGGAAACCAUGAGGCAGAGCAGAAUUGAAGCUUGAUGGGAUCCAGAAGUAGAGGGACCUUGGAUCCAUGGAUUCAAGCGAGGGACUGACGGGUAAGGACACAGGAGCAAUUACAGUGUCUCUGCAUCCAUGUUUAUUUUUAUGGAAUGAAUAUACUAUUCUAUCUCUGAAAGAAUAUAUGAUUACCAUGAUGCAUGUAUGCAGUCUAGGACUCGUAAAACCAAUUUGAUCCAAAUGGACAUUUAUAUAUUAGCAUUAACCCAUCAUAUGUAUUUACCAAACAGUCUGAAUUACAUGUUUUGAUACGACUGUCAGGACAUUCAUUUGUAUAAGCAUGCAGUGAGCCUAAUCCACCAAUCAUCUAAUCAAAGCUAGAGUUUAUUUCAGCUAGAUUCAAACGCUGCCUACUAUUAACUGAAGAUGAUUUCACCAUGUAUAUUAGCUGUUGAGGUGUGCAUAUUAGACCAGUAUAAUCAUUCAGAUUUAGCAAGGCACAAACUCGAGUAGCAAUCUUAAACUGUUCUCAUGCCAUAUUCAUGUUUGUCCUUUCGAAAUUCAGUAUCUCUUGAGCAAACAGAAAUCCUAGGACCGAAAGUAUCAAGGUAAAUAUGUCUUGUUUCAAUCUUUGAUUUAGUAUCUAGGAUUGAAAGCAUGCUACAGUCUAAUUAAGGACAUUUCUUAUAACUCGUUCUCUUGGCAUAGUUGAUCUAAAGUACUUAACCAUCCUUAAAAUCAUACCUAACAAUCCAUUAGAUUAGUUUCUGCUUAGCUCAACUAACAAUCUAUAAAAAUUAGACACAAGAGCAGUAUGUAGAUAACGCAUGAUUGUCAAAUUAAACUAUAGUCCUUCACCUUUGAAUGGCAAUUGUCUACAAACAAAUUGCUAAUUUUAGUAAAACCGCCUCUAUAAAGUACAAACAGAAGGUGCACUGAAAACUCUCCUAGCUCAGGAAUAAGGAUUACCAUCUGUGGUGAGUACUAGCCUUACAAAUUGCAUUCAUCUCAAAGGCUAUCCUUGCUCUAGUUAAACAAGAUAUAGAUCACAGAGCAAGCAACAAAGCACAUCCAUCCAAAAAUAACUUGAAAUCUAACAAUGUAGCAGCUCUAGUCCUCCACCAUGCCCUGAAAUGCAAUCAAUUAGGGACGAAUGGGUCAAGAGGUCGUUGUGUAGUGGGUAGUACCUGGGUCGUCGUCGUCGUAGCUAGGUUGUUGUCGUAGAUGGGUCGUCGUCGUCGUAGAGAACAGAGGCUAGGGAGCUUACUAUUGGAGCUCGUCAGUCGUUAGAUCGAAGAAGCCGCCGUCAGCAGUCGGAGAUGAGCUACAGAUCAGAGAAUGGAUCGUCGACGGAUCAGAGAAUGGACCGUCGACAGAUCGGAGAUGAGCUACGGAUCAGCAGAUCGAAGUCACCAGUCGCCAGCCUUUAGAUCGGAGUCGCCAGUCGCCAGUCGCCUCGUCAAGAGGUCAUUUGGGUGUCUAGGUCAGACUUCAGAUUCAGAGGCAGACUCAAAAUUGGGCUCAAAAUUAAAGAUUGGGUUGAGUUGGGUUGUUUCAGGAUUAAAAUUGAAUUAGCUCAAUUUUGAUUGGGUUGAAGAAAAUCCAGCUCAUAUUAAUUUAUCUUAUUGUGAACCCAACCCGAUAUGAAUGAAUUUGACUAAAUUGGGUUGGGUUGAUGAGUUGGUAGGUUAAAUUUUCAGCCAUAGCUAGCGAAAUAUGGUCUCUGGACUUAAGAAUCAGUCAACAAAUCACAUUCGGCC